Molecule: ribosomal RNA, 486 nt
Filed under: uncultured bacterium
Lineage: Bacteria
Description: bacterial SSU rRNA
Rfam family: Bacterial small subunit ribosomal RNA
Source: RNAcentral
GACGAACGCUGGCGGCGUGCUUAACACAUGCAAGUCGAGCGGAAAGGCCCUUCGGGGUACUCGAGCGGCGAACGGGUGAGUAACACGUGAGUAACCUGCCUUCAGCUUCGGGAUAACCCCGGGAAACCGGGGCUAAUACCGGGUAUUCACGCUUCCUCGCAUGGGGUGGUGUGGAAAGGGUUUACCGGCUGGGGAUGGACUCGCGGCCUAUCAGCUUGUUGGUGGGGUGAUGGCCUACCAAGGCGACGACGGGUAGCCGGCCUGAGAGGGCGACCGGCCACACUGGGACUGAGACACGGCCCAGACUCCUACGGGAGGCAGCAGUGGGGAAUAUUGCGCAAUGGGCGGAAGCCUGACGCAGCGACGCCGCGUGGGGGAUGACGGCCUUCGGGUUGUAAACCUCUUUCAGCACCGACGAAGCGAAAGUGACGGUAGGUGCAGAAGAAGCUCCGGCUAACUACGUGCCAGCAGCCGCCGCAAUAAAAC